Molecule: transfer RNA, 75 nt
Filed under: Neurospora terricola FGSC 1889
Lineage: Eukaryota; Fungi; Ascomycota; Sordariomycetes; Sordariales; Sordariaceae
Description: tRNA-Glu (TTC) (tRNA-Glu-TTC-5-1)
Rfam family: tRNA
About the family: Transfer RNA (tRNA) molecules are approximately 80 nucleotides in length. Their secondary structure includes four short double-helical elements and three loops (D, anti-codon, and T loops).
Source: RNAcentral
GCGCAGUUAGCUCAGUCGGUAGAGCGUUAGCCCGUUCGAGGCUAGAGGUCACAGGUUCGAGUCCUGUAUCGCGUA